GAGACAGUUCGGUCUCUAUCUGUUGUGGGCGUUUGAAACUUGAGCGGACCUGACCCUAGUACGAGAGGACCGGGUUGGACAUACCUCUGGUGUAUCUGUUGUGGCGCCAGCUGCACUGCAGAGUAGCUACGUAUGGAUGAGAUAAGCACUGAAAGCAUCUAAGUGCGAAACUCACCGCGAGAUGAGGUUUCAUUGAGGGUCGUUGUAGACGACAACGUUGAUAGGCCGCAGGUGUAAAGGCAGUGAUGUCAAAGCCGAGCGGUACUAAUUGCCCGAAAGCUUAUC
RNAcentral lists this ribosomal RNA (285 nucleotides) under Flavobacteriales bacterium. Its description in RNAcentral is "partial 23S ribosomal RNA". It matches the Rfam family "Bacterial large subunit ribosomal RNA", at positions 2623 to 2925 of the family's 2925-position model. Lineage: Bacteria; Pseudomonadati; Bacteroidota; Flavobacteriia; Flavobacteriales. The record is from RNAcentral.